RNAcentral lists this ribosomal RNA (513 nucleotides) under uncultured bacterium. RNAcentral describes it as "partial 16S ribosomal RNA". It matches the Rfam family "Bacterial small subunit ribosomal RNA", at positions 28 to 507 of the family's 1533-position model. The record is from RNAcentral.
GACGAACGCUGGCGGCGUGCUUAACACAUGCAAGUCGAACGAAAAGAGGGAAAGAGCUUGCUCUUUCCGGAAUUGAGUGGCAAACGGGUGAGUAACACGUAAACAACCUGCCUUCAGGAUGGGGACAACAGACGGAAACGACUGCUAAUACCGAAUAAGUUCCAAGGGCCGCAUGGCCCAUGGAAGAAAAGGUGGCCUCUACCUGUAAGCUAUCGCCUGAAGAGGGGUUUGCGUCUGAUUAGCUGGUUGGAGGGGUAACGGCCCACCAAGGCGACGAUCAGUAGCCGGUAUGAGAGGAUGAACGGCCACACUGGAAUUGAGACACGGUCCAGACUCCUACGGGAGGCAGCAGUGGGGAAUCUUCCGCAAUGGGCGAAAGCCUGACGGAGCAACGCCGCGUGAGUGAUGACGGCCUUCGGGUUGUAAAACUCUGUGAUCCGGGACGAAAAGGCAGAGUGCGAAGAACAAACUGCAUUGACGGUACCGGAAAAGCGAGCCACGGCUAACUACGUG